Molecule: signal recognition particle RNA, 299 nt
Filed under: Saimiri boliviensis boliviensis (Bolivian squirrel monkey)
Lineage: Eukaryota; Metazoa; Chordata; Mammalia; Primates; Cebidae
Description: Metazoan signal recognition particle RNA (ENSSBOG00000008543.1)
Rfam family: Metazoan signal recognition particle RNA
About the family: The signal recognition particle (SRP) is a universally conserved ribonucleoprotein.
Source: RNAcentral
GCCGGGCGCCGUGGCGUGUGUCUGUAGUCCCAGCUACUCGGGAGGCUGAGGCUGGAGGAUCGCUUGAGUCCAGGAGUUCUGGGCUGUAGUGCCCUAUGCCGAUCGGGUGUCCGCACUAAGUUCAACAUCAAUAUGGUGACCUCCCAGGAGCAGGGGACCAGCAGGUUGCCUAAAAAGGGGUGAACCGGCCCAGGUCGGAAACAGAGCAGGUCAAUACUCCCUUGCUGAUCAAUAGUGGGAUUGCACCUGUGAAUAGCCAUUGCACUCCAGCCUGGGCAACAUAGCGAGACCCUGUCUCU